This 301-nucleotide ribosomal RNA is filed under the name uncultured bacterium. RNAcentral's name for it is "partial 16S ribosomal RNA". It matches the Rfam family "Bacterial small subunit ribosomal RNA", at positions 509 to 807 of the family's 1533-position model. The record is from RNAcentral.
CAGUCGCCGCGGUAAUACGUAGGGUGCAAGCGUUAAUCGGAAUUACUGGGCGUAAAGCGUGCGCAGGCGGUUAUAUAAGACAGAUGUGAAAUCCCCGGGCUCAACCUGGGAACUGCAUUUGUGACUGUAUAGCUAGAGUACGGCAGAGGGGGAUGGAAUUCCGCGUGUAGCAGUGAAAUGCGUAGAUAUGCGGAGGAACACCGAUGGCGAAGGCAUUCCCCUGGGCCUGUACUGACGCUCAUGCACGAAAGCGUGGGGAGCAAACAGGAUUAGAUACCCGCGUAGUCCCUGUCUCUUAUAC